This 1531-nucleotide long non-coding RNA is filed under the name Felis catus (domestic cat). RNAcentral describes it as "lncRNA (ENSFCAG00000043716.2)". Lineage: Eukaryota; Metazoa; Chordata; Mammalia; Carnivora; Felidae. The record is from RNAcentral.
GUCAAGAAUAAAGAGGGAAUGCCGCUAAGGCCGCUUAAUGACAAAAUGCUUUUCUUUGUUUCAAACCUAUUUCUAGGUAUGGGACUCUUCAUGAUGAAGGAGACUGAAAAUGUAUUGAUCGCAAGCUUCCUAAUGUUCUUUCAAGUGAUCUGAACUGUCAGAAGUGUCUCAGUCGUAGUGAAGACAAGUUCAAACUUCCGACAUAUAAUCUUUGAUAUAAGAUCCUUUUCUCCCUGCAAGAAAAUACCACAAUCCCCGCCCCCGAACGAAAUCACCGGCUAGCGGUCCUAUAGACAGAACCCAAGGCCAGUGAGCCCAAUGGCCACAAAGGGGAGUGAUGUACGUGUUUGUGUGCAGGUUUCACAGUGGGACACGGACAGAGAGAAGAACAAAGACAGAGGAAGCACAGCGGGAAAACCUGUCAAUAGGUCUGGCAAGACCUUCUUGACCAGAGAAGAAAGUCAGGGGAUGAAAGACGGGAUGAAGGGACUGAAGGUAUGGGGGGCAGGGGGAGGCUGGGGACCCAGCUGAGACAGGAUCUGGGGGGAGGAACUUCACAUGAACCCCUCCGACCCCUGGGCUCUCAGACCAGGCUUUGACCAUGAAGAUAGUGGAACAGGAGCCGGGCUGGAGAAAUGGGGGCCAACAGGGCCUCUGCUCCGUGGGGAAACCAGUAAACCCUCCUGAGAGGGGCCUGCUGAGAUGUUCACCUGCCCAGGGGACACCACCAGCUAUGGCUGUGGUGAAGGCCAUAGCGUAACAAGUAAACCUGAGCCCCUGUGAGCAUGAGAGGCCUCUGAGAAGCCCAUGGGACGGCAGGUCAAGCAGGAAAUUGGCCUGGUAGGGAAGGCACACGUGCUGGAGAGGGGUCUGAGUUGUGCUCAGCUCCGGGCACCUGGACAUUUGAAGCCAGUUAGCCAUCGCUCAAAUUCCUGAUCCCGGUGGCCCUCUUUAGAGGAAGAUAGGACCUUCGUGUGCAAUGUCUUCAUGUGUCAUGGGUCAUAAUCUCCUCCAACGGGCAUUUUACUUGCUGGGAUGUAGCGCCUUAAGCCUUGGCUCUCCGUUAAACUGCAGCAUUAACAUGACAUAAGGCUUUAGGGUACGUCCACGCCAACAAGGACAAGUCGAAAGGCACAGGCACCAUGUUCACGUAACACAGACAGGUUUCCAAACAAAACAUAAGCCUUGCCCUUGCCUUUUUCGAAAGCAUUCCUCCUGAAGCACAGAGAAGUUGACCGUCUUUAUCACACUGCAAGACGUUUUCGUUUUGUUUGGUCCGUGUCCCCAGCGUGUUUUGUCUUAGGCUUCUGUUCACGUUCCCGCGUCUGUAAAGGACCGUGUCAGGCUGAGUCUCGACUUCCUCAGUCGCCCUGGCUCAAGAUGAAUUGCUGAUUAGAGAAAAAGUAACGCUGUCACCUGGAUGCCUCGGUCUCUUCCUUGGCUCUAACUGUGCUCUGUGCAUACGGCCAGCGCUUCCCAGCGUUGGUCUGAAAAGCAGGCGUAUCGCGCGCGAGGAGGGAAGGAGCGGAAC